UCGCCCGCGUCGGUCAGCCGGCGGGCGAGGUCGGUGAAGUCGUCCCAGCUCCAGCCGGGCUCGGGCAGUUCGACACCGGCCCGGGCGAA
This 89-nucleotide transfer RNA is filed under the name Streptomyces sp. YIM 130001. Its description in RNAcentral is "tRNA-Phe". Lineage: Bacteria; Bacillati; Actinomycetota; Actinomycetes; Kitasatosporales; Streptomycetaceae. The record is from RNAcentral.